Ipomoea nil (Japanese morning glory) is the source of this 73-nucleotide transfer RNA. It matches the Rfam family "tRNA". Rfam says of the family: Transfer RNA (tRNA) molecules are approximately 80 nucleotides in length. Their secondary structure includes four short double-helical elements and three loops (D, anti-codon, and T loops). NCBI's taxonomy places the organism in Eukaryota, Viridiplantae, Streptophyta, Magnoliopsida, Solanales, Convolvulaceae. The record is from Rfam.
GACUUUGUGUUCCAAUGGAUAAGGUGUUGGUCUAUGAAACUAGAGAUUUUGGGUUCGAUCCCCAGCGGAGUUG